CAUCCUCCAAGGCUAAAUACUCCUGACUGACCGAUAGUGAACCAGUACCGUGAGGGAAAGGCGAAAAGAACCCCGGCGAGGGGAGUGAAAAAGAACCUGAAACCGUGUACGUACAAGCAGUGGGAGCACCCUUUGGGGUGUGACUGCGUACCUUUUGUAUAAUGGGUCAGCGACUUAUAUUCUGUAGCAAGGUUAACCGUAUAGGGGAGCCGGAGGGAAACCGAGUCUUAAUUGGGCGUUAAGUUGCAGGGUAUAGACCCGAAACC
Molecule: ribosomal RNA, 266 nt
Filed under: Salmonella enterica subsp. enterica serovar Oranienburg
Lineage: Bacteria; Pseudomonadati; Pseudomonadota; Gammaproteobacteria; Enterobacterales; Enterobacteriaceae
Description: partial 23S ribosomal RNA
Rfam family: Bacterial large subunit ribosomal RNA
Source: RNAcentral